RNAcentral lists this ribosomal RNA (162 nucleotides) under Escherichia coli. RNAcentral's name for it is "partial 16S ribosomal RNA". It matches the Rfam family "Bacterial small subunit ribosomal RNA", at positions 1 to 154 of the family's 1533-position model. Lineage: Bacteria; Pseudomonadati; Pseudomonadota; Gammaproteobacteria; Enterobacterales; Enterobacteriaceae. RNAcentral also lists the same sequence under 4 other names. The record is from RNAcentral.
UUAAAUUGAAGAGUUUGAUCAUGGCUCAGAUUGAACGCUGGCGGCAGGCCUAACACAUGCAAGUCGAACGGUAACAGGAAGCAGCUUGCUGCUUCGCUGACGAGUGGCGGACGGGUGAGUAAUGUCUGGGAAACUGCCUGAUGGAGGGGGAUAACUACUGGA